This 1261-nucleotide long non-coding RNA is filed under the name Nicotiana benthamiana. RNAcentral describes it as "long non-coding RNA (NBEN_LNC041098)". The record is from RNAcentral. Lineage: Eukaryota; Viridiplantae; Streptophyta; Magnoliopsida; Solanales; Solanaceae.
GGAAACUUGUCAUAAAACAAUAGAAGUAAAACAAAGGCUUGGCAGACAACAACCAAUACAUAUUUGGCAUAAGGUAUUCAGAUGACAAUUCAUUUUCUAAGAAUAUUCAUUCUUUAAGUUGUAGUCAUGUCACGCAAAUGUGUAUACAAUACUAUUAAAAUUGUUUCAUCUUAAGUUGCGCGAACACAUACUUUGAUUCAUACUUAUAUCAGAUCAAUUCAUAUACUUAAAUCCGGUCAAUAAAUAUUCCAUCACCACGUUUUACCAAUCACACAAUAUUUUCAAUAUGGUAAAGGAACAUCUUGUCCUAUAAGAAGGUCUAAGAUGAUAAGCUUUUAGCACAAUUUUUAAAAAAAACCACAAAAUGAGCCAGGUCAACAAAAUGGUACUCAUACACCAUUAGAAUUCUGAGUAUCGAUCCACAUUAACAAACAAGUAGAAGCCACAUAAUUGGUAUGUGUUCUUUCACUUUGAACGAUUAAAGACCAAUUCCAAAGUGGACACCUGCUAGGGACACUUUCCGUCAAUUCAACGUGGGAGAUUACAACUACAAGGAUCAAACAAAACCAUAGAAAGAGGCCUCAAACAUAUUAAACUCUAUAUUAGAAUAGAAUGAGGGAGGAAAGAAUUGAACCUCAAGUUUCCUUCAAUUAAUAAACAUUCCAGGAAUUACACGGAUGGAAACUAACCACAACCACGAUCAGAACUCAAAUCGGACAGGACUCUCGAACAUGGACCUUGAUGGAAUCCUCGAACCGGCACCUCGGAUUUGCUGAUGGACAACACGAAACCCAAAUAAGACCACAAUCAAACUUUACGAGCGGAGAUCGAAACAAGGGUCGAAACUUUCUAUUGAACAAACUCAAGCAGAAGCUUUGGAAGAACAAAAAUCAGAAGCAAAAUCGAAACCCCCAGAUCACUUUAGUUCUGCGUGGGCAUAUUUCUUGUCUUGAAUCCGAAAAUUAGGAAAGGAAAAAUAAAAUCAAAAUCUUAAAUUCCGCUGAAUGUCGAAGAAGAUGAAGUUUCAGGGAAAUCCUUUGGUAUUUUUUGUGUUCUCUGCCGUUUUUUGUGUAGUCCCCAGGUCUAGGUUCCUCCUUUAUAUUUAGAAGUUAAGUGUUAUUUUAUAGGGGGUAAGAUUAGGUUAGCUCAAAUGAGAAAUGGGUAUGAGCUCAAUAUUUUGGGCUUGAAAGGAUUUGGGUUAUGAAUUUGGAUUAAAUAACUUUGGGGUAGGAAGACUAAAUAAAAACCCUUUUUCAUAUUA